GGCGGGCCUCCCCGCAUUGUGAAGUAGCCAAUCUGGUCAGGUGCGGAAGCAAGCAGCCACAACUAUUAAGCAAGUG
RNAcentral lists this signal recognition particle RNA (76 nucleotides) under Methylotenera sp. RNAcentral describes it as "partial signal recognition particle sRNA small type". It matches the Rfam family "Bacterial small signal recognition particle RNA", at positions 1 to 78 of the family's 97-position model. Rfam says of the family: The signal recognition particle (SRP) is a universally conserved ribonucleoprotein involved in the co-translational targeting of proteins to membranes. Archaeal SRP consists of a 7S RNA and homologues of the eukaryotic SRP19 and SRP54 proteins. The record is from RNAcentral. Lineage: Bacteria; Pseudomonadati; Pseudomonadota; Betaproteobacteria; Nitrosomonadales; Methylophilaceae.